UACAGAGGUCCCAAGCGUUGUUCGGAUUCACUGGGCGUAAAGGGUGCGUAGGUGGUGAGGUAAGUCGGAUGUGAAAUCUCCGAGCUCAACUCGGAAACUGCAUUGGAAACUACCUUGCUCGAGGGUUGGAGGGGGGACUGGAAUGCUUGGUGUAGCAGUGAAAUGCGUAGAUAUCAAGCGGAACACCAGUGGCGAAGGCGAGUCCCUGGACAACUCCUGACACUGAUGCCCGAAAGCUAGGGGAGCAAACAGG
RNAcentral lists this ribosomal RNA (253 nucleotides) under uncultured bacterium. RNAcentral's name for it is "partial 16S ribosomal RNA". It matches the Rfam family "Bacterial small subunit ribosomal RNA", at positions 524 to 776 of the family's 1533-position model. The record is from RNAcentral.